Long non-coding RNA from Corticium candelabrum, 422 nucleotides. RefSeq lists it as uncharacterized. The transcript has 2 exons. The record is from RefSeq and is a predicted model, not a curated record. NCBI's taxonomy places the organism in Eukaryota, Metazoa, Porifera, Homoscleromorpha, Homosclerophorida, Plakinidae.
GAUGAGCGGGAAACAUCAACACACUUGCUCAACGCCAUACAGGCGAGAGAAAUGUCGCACACUGAUUGAACACCCUGCUGUAGGAAACGACAUGACGUCAAGAAUGUAACAUCACACGAAUGAUUCAAUGGAAAUGGACACAUCGUAUUUGAGCUAUUCACUAACGAACACGAGCAAUGUCUUCCGUACGUCGACGUCCGUUUGAAAUCAAGUGCAAUGCUAGAAGUGAACUUCGAAUAUACUGUUGGGAACCUGCAGGUGUGCUUGUAGGCUGUCAGCUCAGUUGAUCGAACUCAUCCAUAUCAGAGGGGAAAUUAAGUGACAUCUUGUCUACGGGCACUCUUGUACUGCUCGUUUUCUACUACUUUAGGUCGCAUUUUCCGUCAUUUGUGAAAUUAAGUAAAGCAUUUGUCCUGUGUCCC